GAUGAAGAACGUAGCGAAAUGCGAUACGUAAUGUGAAUUGCAGAAUUCAGUGAAUCAUCGAGUCUUUGAACGCACAUUGCGCCCCCUGGUAUUCCGGGGGGCAUGCCUGUCCGAGCGUCAUUGCUGCCCUCAAGCACGGCUUGUGUGUUGGGCCUCCGUCCUCCUCCCGGGGGACGGGCCCGAAAGGCAGCGGCGGCACCGCGUCCGGUCCUCGAGCGUAUGGGGCUUCGUCACCCGCUCUUGUAGGCCCGGCCGGCGCUUGCCGACACAUCAAUCUUUUUUCCAGGUUGACCUCGGAUAAGGUAGGGAUACCCGCUGAACUUAAGCAUAUCAAUAAGCGGAGGA
RNAcentral lists this unclassified non-coding RNA (345 nucleotides) under soil metagenome. Its description in RNAcentral is "partial contains 5.8S ribosomal RNA, internal transcribed spacer 2, and large subunit ribosomal RNA". The stretch from base 1 to 120 matches the Rfam family "5.8S ribosomal RNA", at positions 35 to 154 of the family's 154-position model. The record is from RNAcentral.